AGAGUUUGAUCCUGGCUCAGGACAAACGCUGGCGGCGUGCGUAACACAUGCAAGUCGGACGGACGGGUGGGCUUCGGCUCACGCGUUAGUGGCGGACGGGUGCGUAACACGUGGAUGACCUGCCUCGUGGUGGGGGAUAGCUCGCGGAAACGCGGGGUAAGACCGCAUGCGCUGUGGUGGAGCGAUCUACCACAGGAAAG
Molecule: ribosomal RNA, 200 nt
Filed under: uncultured bacterium
Lineage: Bacteria
Description: partial 16S ribosomal RNA
Rfam family: Bacterial small subunit ribosomal RNA
Source: RNAcentral